RNAcentral lists this long non-coding RNA (1006 nucleotides) under Pan troglodytes (chimpanzee). RNAcentral describes it as "lncRNA (ENSPTRG00000053613.1)". Lineage: Eukaryota; Metazoa; Chordata; Mammalia; Primates; Hominidae. The record is from RNAcentral.
UAAAUAUGUGUAAUUUGUAUUUGUUAAUUAUAGCUUGAUGAAGCUGGGGGCGAGGAAAACAAAAACUAAAAAGUGAAUGGCAAGAAAAAAGGCAACAUGAGGCUGUAGUUUGAAGAACACAAGGCAGUCAGGCCCUGGCCACAUGUCAGUCAGGACACACAAGAGGCCCGGCGCAAACACAACAAAGCCCGCAGACAUUCUGUCCCAACGAAGAACAGACGCCACUCCACUUUCUAGCGUCUUGACGGGCUAUCCAAGCGCGGAGUCAGUUUAUAAGAAUGAGAGCGCUCGCUGUGCUGUCUGUCACGCUGGUUAUGGCCUGCACAGAAGCCUUCUUCCCCUUCAUCUCAAGAGGGAAAGAGCUCCUUUGGGGUAAGUAGCAAACACAUUGUGGUCUUCUGGCCUUAUAAAGUUAUUUUUCACACUUACUAAAAUAGAGGGCAUAAUGGUAGCUCCUGAGAGUCAGUUUAGGCCCCUGUAGUGUAUGCUUUGUUAUGCUUAAGAAAAAAAAAUUGUAAUUCUUGAUUUUAGAAGGAUUGAAAUACGUACAUUUCUUUCUUUAAAAAAGAGCUGAUUUUACUUGGAUGACACAAUAGACAAUUUUCACUUUUACCUAUUCAUAUAUUUGAAAAAAAAAUUCUUUGGGAGUGUUUUUCUUCCUUUGCUACAGAAUUAUUUUUUAUUAAAUAACUUCUGUGAUGUAUUUUCUGGAAUCAGUGUGCUACUAUGUGAAAACAAGUUAAGAAAGCUACUGAGAGGCAGGGGUUAAAAUAAUCACAGAUCAAACUCUUUGCUUUUCUUUUGAUAAAAUAAAUAAAGUUCCAAACCCUGAGAACAAGUCUCACUGGAGUGAACACUGCAGGGGCAUUUGCCUGGACAUUUCACCCCAUGGACACCGCUGGCCCCGGGAGCAGAUGACACCUCGCUGGGCAGGUCCCUGGGCCUCUGGACACAGUCCUGGGGCCCCUGGAGCAGGUGACACCUUGCCAGGCAGGUCCCUGGGCCU